AUUAAGGCCGACCCAAGUCUAAGAAAGACCGAAACACCUUGGACCUCAAUGCGUUUCUACCCUCUUCUCACCUCCAGUAAAUGGCGUUUGGCUGGUGUAUUUGGCUUCCGAUCAGUGGUACGCUAGGUUUGAUUCAGAUUUUGGUUGGAGCAUUCGGAUUUUUGUGCUGAUCUGAAGAAGUUUGCUGGUUGUUGGUGAUAUUUUCUCGUUCUUACCAUUAGUUUUUCUACCAAUUUCUGGUUUUCGAUGGUGGUUAGGGGUGCCAUUAGAUGGUUUGGUGGUUUUGAAUUUCUGUGCGCUGUUAUCCAGUGAUUUUGAAUUUGGAGUUUGAGGCUCUUGUAUUGCGCUUCUCCAAACAUAGUGUUAUAAGGGCACGGGACUACUAGGCUUGAUCCAUGAAAAUUUCGGGCCUCAUUGGCUUUUCCCUGCUAAUUAAUAAUUAGCAAUAGUAAUACAGUAGUAGGCAAACAUUAAACGGUGCGUUUAGCUGUAGCAGAUGGGGGAAAUGAUAGCGUACCACGUGGAAGACACAAUAAAAUCGGGUUCGUUAUCGUUAUCUUCUUUUGUUGAGCUCUGUGUAAGACAGUGCAAAAUACUUUACAGCAAGUCUCUUUGCUUCACUGACCGGGAAUGGCAUCGAGAGAGAACUCCACGAGCACGGUUCCGAGUGUUGCACCUAGCUUUGUCUUGCUCUCAUCGUGGAUUGCUCACAACCCGUUUCUGAGACCUUUGAAGCUGAAUCUCGCAUCUCCAAAUGGUAUGAUACGUGAGCUCCACUUGUCCCUCACUUCGACGGCUGAAAAAUGCUCGAGGUUCCUUCACUUGUUUGCCUCUGAAAAUCCCAUUUUCAAGAGAUUACUCUCUUUCUCUUCCCAUUUUAGGCAUCAUCUUGCCCAGUUUCAAUGCAGGGAUUAUAGGAAUCCAAAUUCUCUGUCCAAUCACAGCUUUGCUGCAGUAUUACCGGGAGAUUCAGUGGCAGGGAUUGUGGUAGCUAAUGGCAUUAUCAAUUUUCUGAAUAUAUACAACACGCUGUUGAUUGUAAGGCUGGUUUUGACCUGGUUUCCCAACUCUCCUCCUGCCAUUGUCAGUCCCCUCAGGUGCACAUCCUAACUUCUAGAAAUUUGUCUGAGACAUUAAACUUGUAGUGAUUUAAGAUUAUUGUGAUGUAAAUGCUAAGAGAUGACCUCUAUGGAUGCAUUGAACAUAUCUACUGUUCCCGCAUGGCAAAAUUUGAACCUCGAUAGGAUUCAAAUUAGGCCAAGGGAUCUUGCAAAGAAUAACGAUUGCUUAUCCAGGUACUUAUAUAAAAAAAUUGGAUCUUUAUGUAUCUUAAUUUAAUGUGGUCAUAUUUUGAAUUCAGCACUUUGUGUGAUCCCUACUUGAACAUAUUCCGCGGAAUCAUUCCACCAUUGGGAGGGACAUUGGAUCUUUCUCCUAUUCUAGCAUUCUUGGUUCUAAAUGCCUUUUCCAGUACUGCUGCCGCACUUCCUGCUGAACUUCCGAAAACAGAAGCUUCUCAAGGAAGUUGUCCUCCGAAUACAAGAUUCACUAAUUUCACUACAUCACAGAAGAAAUGGAUGAGAAGGCUCUAUGGGAACAAGCCACAGAGCUCCACUGGUUCCAAUUAGGCUAUUAUCAUGAUAGUCUUCUAGGUAUACCCUUCGUGUAUUUUUUUUCUUUUUUUCAGCAUCUGAAUACUGGAUAGUCUCCUUCCGGCUAAUAAUUGACUUAAGCUUGCUGAAUUAUAGAAAUUCUUUUUGCUAUUAUUAAUAUUAGUUAUAUAUUCUUUUCGUGGAUAAGGCAUGUUGAUAACAUUCAUGUAAAUGAGCAGUGAGCUAUUGUAUUGAUACAUAAAUUAUUGUAGCAUAAGGCUGUCCUGUAAAAUUAUUCCCUGUUACAGAAACAUAAGCCACCCACCGCCUUCUCUCCUCUGCCAGAGAAAGCAGGAAAUAUUUUUUCAAAAAUCCAUUUUUUGCUCUUUGUGGAAAGCGAGAACUCUUGACACUUGAUGGCUAUGCAGGACUCGUAAAGAAUAACUGUUCACCAUGCUGAUCCUCUGAUCUACACUACAGUGUAGUUCUUCCAUUUUUCUGUCAUUUUGAAUAGCUGAUAGGUCUCUUGCAGUAAUUAAUCAGAAUUUUCUGGACGUGAGUACAUGAUAUGAAACAUCUUACACUUGCAGGCUUUGAGGAGUGUUGAUACUUGAUAUCCGCAGUCUUACCAUUGCUUUGCAAAUAGGCUGUUUCCAUACAUGGUACAUGAUGAUAAGGUUAAAUCAGAAAGCAUCUGAUUCUGACCAAUUAUGUGGAUAGCAUCUAGUUUCAAUUUUGUUAAUAGGGAAUAAUCUAUCCAUUUUAAUAUCUUCUUCACGUCCAUCCAAUCUAACUUCAUGGACAAGCUGCUGCCCAAAUAUUUUCUACAGAAUAAUUUCACAGCUUCCGGAAGGAUUCCCUUAGAAUUUAGAAAGGAUAGGUUUCAAGAGAGUGAAUCUUUAGAAGAACUCUUUAUCCUUUUGUGAUGCUCCUUCAGAUGUUCAUCGAAAUCCGAUAUUUAUUAACAAUUUUAAAGAAUAUUCCAUUUCAAUGAUGAAGAUGAAAAGUUCUAAUACUUAGCACAAGUACCCUCCACACUUUAGCUUCUUUUUUUAUUCUUGUAGCAUCCCUUUCUACAAGAUUAUGAUCAAAAUAAUAUCAACCAUCUGAUAUGGUUUGAUACACCGGCUUUUCUGCUGUUGGAUAUGUUUGAAAAUCUCUGUUUGGACCAAUCUAUUACUCUAGAUAAAGAAAAUAGUAAAGAGUUCUACUAGAAAGGAACAAUCAAGGGGAGUGCAAGGUACUAGAGAUAACAAGAACGAAGUUCCUGAGUUGAGUGAGUCGUCUUCUGAAUGGAGCCAAUAGCUAUAUGCAGGACUAGCAGGUCUUCCAGGUCUUCAUUGGGUGAGAGGGUUAUGUUUAUAGGCUUGGGCGUUCUUGCCGUGAUUUCACCUCUAUAUAUUAACCGGAGACCAGUUAUUGAAUCGGAGGAUGAUGAACAAUCCAUCAAUCUGUCUUCUUGGUUGCCUUUGCUGCUCUUGCUGCUGAUCUUGGCUAUUGCUUUAUCGAUGUAUGCAGACAAGCGCUUUACAAGGACUAGCAAGUUUUCCUCAUAUGAGAGGCUUGUGGGAAUUGGCAUGGGCCUUAUAGCAGUGAUUUCACCUUUGUAUAUCAACCGGAGACCAGAUAUUGAUCCAGAGCUUGAAGAACAAUCCAUCAACCUGGCUUCUUGGUUGCCUCUGCUGCUUUUGGUUCUGAUCUUGGCCAUUGCUUUGUCACUGUAUUUAGACCAGAGCCUUACCAGGUUUGAUCCUUAUUGGAUUCAUAGAAUUGGUGGCUCUUCUGGUGGAAUCAUUAUAAUACUUGUGAUUCUCGCAUUGGUUUUGAAAUGCAAGGCUUCUUAUGGGGGAAAGGCCGAAUGAAACAAGGAGAACAAGCAGCUUCCAGUAAAAAACCUUUCACUAUUCUUGUUUUCAGGAAAGAAUUUCCUUUGAUAAAUUAAACAUCUUUUAUUUGCUUCCCUUGUAGGGAAAUUUCCUUUUAAAUGUUAAAAAGCUUGCUUUUCUUCCUCUCUGUGCACCUCACUGCUAAUUAGUUUUUAGUUCUUCUAUAUUCCUAAACCAGUAAAGUGCCA
This 3666-nucleotide unclassified non-coding RNA is filed under the name Hevea brasiliensis (rubber tree). The record is from RNAcentral. Lineage: Eukaryota; Viridiplantae; Streptophyta; Magnoliopsida; Malpighiales; Euphorbiaceae.